GCGCUUCAGUAGCACAUAUACUAAAAAUUGGAAUGAUACAGAGAAGAUUAGCACAGCGCCUGCCCAAGAUUGACAUGCAAAUUCCAGAAGUGUUCCAUAUUUUU
This 104-nucleotide small nuclear RNA is filed under the name Moschus moschiferus (Siberian musk deer). The record is from RNAcentral. Lineage: Eukaryota; Metazoa; Chordata; Mammalia; Artiodactyla; Moschidae.